CGUAACAAGGUCUCCGUAGGUGAACCUGCGGAGGGAUCAUUACACAAAUAUGAAGGCGGGCUGGAACCUCUCGGGGUUACAGCCUUGCUGAAUUAUUCACCCUUGUCUUUUGCGUACUUCUUGUUUCCUUGGUGGGUUCGCCCACCACUAGGACAAACAUAAACCUUUUGUAAUUGCAGUCAGCGUCAGUAACAAAUUAAUAAUUACAACUUUCAACAACGGAUCUCUUGGUUCUGGCAUCGAUGAAGAACGCAGCGAAAUGCGAUAAGUAGUGUGAAUUGCAGAAUUCAGUGAAUCAUCGAAUCUUUGAACGCACAUUGCGCCCUUUGGUAUUCCAAAGGGCAUGCCUGUUCGAGCGUCAUUUGUACCCUCAAGCUUUGCUUGGUGUUGGGCGUCUUGUCUCUAGCUUUGCUGGAGACUCGCCUUAAAGUAAUUGGCAGCCGGCCUACUGGUUUCGGAGCGCAGCACAAGUCGCACUCUCUAUCAGCAAAGGUCUAGCAUCCAUUAAGCCUUUUUUUCAACUUUUGACCUCGGAUCAGGUAGGGAUACCCGCUGAACUUAAGCAUAUCA
RNAcentral lists this ribosomal RNA (570 nucleotides) under uncultured fungus. Its description in RNAcentral is "eukaryotic LSU rRNA". The stretch from base 208 to 361 matches the Rfam family "5.8S ribosomal RNA". The record is from RNAcentral. Lineage: Eukaryota; Fungi.